RNAcentral lists this ribosomal RNA (1375 nucleotides) under Salmonella enterica. RNAcentral's name for it is "partial 23S ribosomal RNA". It matches the Rfam family "Bacterial large subunit ribosomal RNA", at positions 1577 to 2925 of the family's 2925-position model. Lineage: Bacteria; Pseudomonadati; Pseudomonadota; Gammaproteobacteria; Enterobacterales; Enterobacteriaceae. The record is from RNAcentral.
CUACGGUGCUGAAGCAACAAAUGCCCUGCUUCCAGGAAAAGCCUCUAAGCAUCAGGUAACAUCAAAUCGUACCCCAAACCGACACAGGUGGUCAGGUAGAGAAUACCAAGGCGCUUGAGAGAACUCGGGUGAAGGAACUAGGCAAAAUGGUGCCGUAACUUCGGGAGAAGGCACGCUGACACGUAGGUGAAGUGAUUUACUCAUGGAGCUGAAGUCAGUCGAAGAUACCAGCUGGCUGCAACUGUUUAUUAAAAACACAGCACUGUGCAAACACGAAAGUGGACGUAUACGGUGUGACGCCUGCCCGGUGCCGGAAGGUUAAUUGAUGGGGUCAGCGCAAGCGAAGCUCCUGAUCGAAGCCCCGGUAAACGGCGGCCGUAACUAUAACGGUCCUAAGGUAGCGAAAUUCCUUGUCGGGUAAGUUCCGACCUGCACGAAUGGCGUAAUGAUGGCCAGGCUGUCUCCACCCGAGACUCAGUGAAAUUGAACUCGCUGUGAAGAUGCAGUGUACCCGCGGCAAGACGGAAAGACCCCGUGAACCUUUACUAUAGCUUGACACUGAACAUUGAGCCUUGAUGUGUAGGAUAGGUGGGAGGCUUUGAAGUGUGGACGCCAGUCUGCAUGGAGCCGACCUUGAAAUACCACCCUUUAAUGUUUGAUGUUCUAACGUGGACCCGUUACCCGGGUUGCGGACAGUGUCUGGUGGGUAGUUUGACUGGGGCGGUCUCCUCCUAAAGAGUAACGGAGGAGCACGAAGGUUGGCUAAUCCUGGUCGGACAUCAGGAGGUUAGUGCAAUGGCAUAAGCCAGCUUGACUGCGAGCGUGACGGCGCGAGCAGGUGCGAAAGCAGGUCAUAGUGAUCCGGUGGUUCUGAAUGGAAGGGCCAUCGCUCAACGGAUAAAAGGUACUCCGGGGAUAACAGGCUGAUACCGCCCAAGAGUUCAUAUCGACGGCGGUGUUUGGCACCUCGAUGUCGGCUCAUCACAUCCUGGGGCUGAAGUAGGUCCCAAGGGUAUGGCUGUUCGCCAUUUAAAGUGGUACGCGAGCUGGGUUUAGAACGUCGUGAGACAGUUCGGUCCCUAUCUGCCGUGGGCGCUGGAGAACUGAGGGGGGCUGCUCCUAGUACGAGAGGACCGGAGUGGACGCAUCACUGGUGUUCGGGUUGUCAUGCCAAUGGCACUGCCCGGUAGCUAAAUGCGGAAGAGAUAAGUGCUGAAAGCAUCUAAGCACGAAACUUGCCCCGAGAUGAGUUCUCCCUGAGACUUAGAGUCUCCUGAAGGAACGUUGAAGACGACGACGUUGAUAGGCCGGGUGUGUAAGCGCAGCGAUGCGUUGAGCUAACCGGUACUAAUGAACCGUGAGGCUUAACCUUACA